RNAcentral lists this ribosomal RNA (460 nucleotides) under uncultured bacterium. Its description in RNAcentral is "partial 16S ribosomal RNA". It matches the Rfam family "Bacterial small subunit ribosomal RNA", at positions 338 to 795 of the family's 1533-position model. The record is from RNAcentral.
CCUACGGGUGGCAGCAGUGAGGAAUAUUGGUCAAUGGCCGUAAGGCUGAACCAGCCAAGUCGCGUGAAGGAAGAAGGAUCUAUGGUUUGUAAACUUCUUUUAUAGGGGAAUAAAGGUAUCCACGUGUGGAUAUUUGCAUGUACCCUAUGAAUAAGCAUCGGCUAACUCCGUGCCAGCAGCCGCGGUAAUACGGAGGAUGCGAGCGUUAUCCGGAUUUAUUGGGUUUAAAGGGUGCGUAGGUUGUUUUUUAAGUCAGCGGUGAAAGUUUGUGGCUCAACCAUGAGAGUGCGGCGCGAACUGGAGACCUUGAGUGCGCGGAAGGCAGGCGGAAUUCGUGGUGUAGCGGUGAAAUGCUUAGAUAUCACGAAGAACCCCGAUUGCGAAGGCAGCCUGCCGCAGCGUUACUGACGCUGAAGCUCGAAAGCGCGGGUAUCGAACAGGAUUAGAUACCCGAGUAGUC